This 253-nucleotide ribosomal RNA is filed under the name uncultured bacterium. RNAcentral describes it as "partial 16S ribosomal RNA". It matches the Rfam family "Bacterial small subunit ribosomal RNA", at positions 524 to 776 of the family's 1533-position model. The record is from RNAcentral.
UACGAAGGGGGCUAGCGUUGUUCGGAAUUACUGGGCGUAAAGGGCGCGUAGGCGGCUUCGCUAGUCGGGCGUGAAAGGCCUGGGCUCAACCCGGGAACUGCGCUCGAUACUUCGAGGCUAGAGUGUGGGAGAGGAUGGUGGAAUUCCCAGUGUAGAGGUGAAAUUCGUAGAUAUUGGGAAGAACACCGGUGGCGAAGGCGGCCAUCUGGACCACUACUGACGCUGAGGCGCGAAAGCGUGGGGAGCAAACAGG